Molecule: unclassified non-coding RNA, 172 nt
Filed under: soil metagenome
Description: partial internal transcribed spacer 1
Source: RNAcentral
CUGAGCUCGCAGAACUCCCGUAACCACUGUGAACUUACCUAUCCCGUUGCCUUCGGCGGGGGGCCUCCGGCGCGUCUUCGGCGCCACCCCUCGGGGCGCGCCAGCCCGCCGGCGGCGCCCUAAACUCUAGUCUCUUACAUUGGCAUCUCCGAGCAGACUAUAAACUAAGUCA